RNAcentral lists this ribosomal RNA (114 nucleotides) under uncultured bacterium. RNAcentral's name for it is "partial 16S ribosomal RNA". It matches the Rfam family "Bacterial small subunit ribosomal RNA", at positions 355 to 468 of the family's 1533-position model. The record is from RNAcentral.
UGGGGAAUAUUGGACAAUGGGGGAAAGCGUGAUCCAGCAAUACCGCGUGUGUGAGAAGGCCUUCGGGUUGUAAAGCACUUUAAGUUGGGAAGAAAAAGCUUCACCUAAUACGUG